GAUGAAAACUAAUACACCAAUCAAAUGUAAUGUUUAUAAAAGCGUAUGAUCCAUACAAUAUCUGCAUGUGUAUGUGUCUGAUAAACAGUAUCCAAUUUCAUGCAAUUUUCUUCUGCGGUAAUGUGUAUUAGUAUGGCUAAUGGGUAUUACAAUCAUUUAUUUAUAAAAGUCCUAAUUUUAAUAAGACGGUUAUGACAAAAAAAUUAAAAAGAUUUGUACUGUAUAUUAACCAUCUUGUGAAGUUAUGAUUUUGAAUUUCGGAUAAUAAGUAGAUUGACAAUAUUGAGUACGUAUAAUGUAUAUACGGAAAAUCUAUUGUAUAUGAGCUAUUUUAUAUGAACUAUGAAUACUUAUCCCUUGUUCAAUUAUAAUAUAUUUGAAAGUUAUUAGCAAGUUAUAUUUUUACAAUAAAGCAAAGUGCAGAUGAGUAUUGAAAUGGAGGUCAUUUAUAAUUUUGAAUAUUGCCUUAUGAAUCUAUUCAUUGAUGGAACUUCAUGUAGUGUGGCUGUAUUUAUUUACAAAUAAUAUAUAUUAUAUGCAACAUACAUUAUUAUCACUUAUAAAUCGAAAUAUUUCAUUGUUUUACAAUCCGUGUUGAAGUUCUGGAGUACUAUUUCUAAAUUACAUUUUUUACAAAUAACUAAUUAUCUUAUUUACUUUACUAAGUAAUUAACUACUACAUGCGUCACAUAUUUAAUUUACGCUAAAGGUGUGUCUACAAUGCAUAUUUUUUCAAAUAUUUAAAGAAUCUCUCAUCACACGAACUAUAUCGUAAUUCAAGUAAUAUUGAAAAAUAUUAUACAUAUUGUAUUAAACGUUGUGUCGACACGGUGAUAUUAUUUUAUAAAUACGACGACAAACUGUAGGACGAUAAUUUUGUUGUACGACGUGUAAGCCAAGCCCGUAUUGUAUUUUUAUAACAACUUGCGUUAUUAUAUUUUUAUAUAAAAUCGUAUAACGGUCCAUAGAAUAGAUUUCUUUGCUUUAUGGCAUUCAACACAAUACAAAAAUAUUACUAUACGUUUUCCGCGCAAUUUGAAAUAAUAAUAAUUACUCUAAUUAAUGCGCUCCCGCCGGCCAACUAUUUUUUAUUUUUUUUUAAAAAGUCACACAAAAUUUAAUAGUGAUAUUAUACAUUAAACGAGUACGUCUCCGUUGUAUAGUGACUACAUUGCGUUAGGGCCCAUACCGUAGGUAUUUUUACACCUUUGAAAUUAUUACGGGUUUACGAUCUACAAUGCAAUAUUAUAAUAACACAAUGCUUUAAUUUCUUAUAGGAAAUCCAUUGUUGAUUUUAAUAAUAAUUUUCCUAUCCUGGAACACACUCCGCACCCUCCUGUAAACGCAUACCGUAUAAAUCACAAAACGUUUCGGGCAUGAACUCGGCCCAGUGUAAUAAUAAUAUUGAAUAAUUUUGUUUGUAAAAUGUUAUCAUAUUAUUAUAAUAGUAUAAUACAACGAAAGAGAAACUGACAUUUUUUUCUUCAAGGAGCACUGCAUAGGCAAUUUGUCUUGUUAGACGUUGAAUAUAAUAUUAUUAUGUAAAUGACUGUUGGCUCGUGUAAGCCGUUUAUCAUGAUGUUCAAAAAUAUUCGUUCGCAUUUAGGUAAAUAUAUGUUAUUAUUUUUCCCAUGUCAGUGAAAUUAUAAUACUUUUUAAUCCUAUAUAAUAAUAAUAUUAUGUAUAACGAUAUAAAAAAAAUACGCCAUUUUGCUUACUAUACACUCAACAAGCACAGGGCUGAAAAUAUUUUUCCAGGGACUCCUCCUUACCAAUUUAUUCCUAAAUACAAUAUUAUUAUUGUUAUUAAUUGUUUGACAGUCAAAUGUUAAAUGUAAUAAUUGUUCAAAAAUAAUAAUAUUUAAAAGAUCAGAAAUUUCGACAAUUCCAUGCUGUUGAAGAACAACGGUGGUUUUGACAAAUAUUUGAAUCUAUAGAGGAAUAAUAUUGUUAACGGUAUUUAGGUUAUUUUGUUGCUGUAUGUUUUAUGCCUCAUACACGACUGAAAUAUGUCUAAAACAUGUCUAAGACCUGAAUUUCUUGGAAUUCUUAUCAUCACAUACCAACAAAUAGCAUAGAUGAGUCUCAGUUUAUCCAAAUCUGGGCGAGAUAUCGUCGAGGACUUGUAUUCUUACUAUAUUAUUGCUCAGUAUUUUUGGCCGUUUACUAUGCCGUUAUUCACAAUAAUUACAAUAAUUGUUAUAAUUAUUAUAAGUCAACUAGAAUAGUAGUAAAACAAUUUAAAGAAACAACUAGAUAGGUAAUAACAAUAUUUUCUAAGGAAUUUUCGGUUAUAGAUUUGCUAUUUGCAUUUUUGUUUUUUUUCGGAGUGGACCAUCUUAAAAAAAAAAACCCGAUUUCCGUGAAAAUGAAACGCUCUAAUGUCAAAGCAUACUUUUCCUCUGAAGUUAAAAAGUUAGUACAUAUACAUAGAGAGUAUAAUGGACUGACCCCGACGAAUGCCAGUUGUUAUACAUUUGAAAGGAAUGAUAAAUCAUCGGAUUUUGAAAAAUGAAUCUUAGCGCUGAGUUCGGUGGCAUAUAAAUCGAAAAACGUGGUUUCAACUCAAGCUAUGGGGCGUAAUGCAAUGUGUUUUAGUGUAGGUUUUCACGAAACGAGAAUUGUAUAUAAGUACCUAACUAAAAAAAAAAUUAUAUUUCACAUUUUUAUAAAAUAAUAUGCGAAUGUCUCAAAAAAGUUUUUUUAUGAGAUAUACAUAUUAUGAUUUAAGUAGAAAUCCGUUCGAUUAAUAUUUAAUACUAAAUAGUACAUUAAGUCUUCACGAAUACGCGUAAACAAAAUAUUAUCAAUACCUACCCAUUGUCUCAAUACAAUUAAAAAGUUGCCUAUAUAUUGUGGCGCGGUGGUCGACUUCAAUCACAAACGUGUUCUGAAGUCAAACAUCAGCCGGUGUCACUAGUUGCCGGAUGGGUGACCACUCAGGUUGUAGAGACAAAUCCUCACCACAUAUACACGUGCUCUAACCUUACCCUCCCUUAUAGUUAAAUAGCUACAAAAUAACCUUCAGGCUAAUGAUCAUAGAUGUCAAAGCCUUAACUAAAUUUAAAAAAAAAAAUAAAUAAAAAAUAAGGCUAUGACAGUGAAUUUGAUUAAUUCGUAUAAUAUGAUAUUUAAAAAAAAAAUUAGAAUGACAUAAUAUUAUAUAUAUUUGUUAUUAUUGUUUAUUGCGUCUUCAUUAGCUUCUCGCCGAAAAUAUUUCCUAGACGCUCAAUCGACUGCUGACCGAUCGUAACAUUAUAAUAUUGUUGUGCGUGACAAAAAUUAAAGUCGAAAACGAAUAUUUGGUGUCUCGGUGUACAACAGUUCUCGACAGGAUGAUUGUCAGAAAGUAAUAAAAUGCGGUGCGAACAGGGUUAAGCAAUUUUCUGGGAAAUUCUUGGGGUGGCUUAAAGUGCCGCACUGCAGCUCGUGUCAAAUGUCCUGAGGUAUAAAAUAUGAAUGGGCCACGCGCAACUUUGAAGAACCCUAAAAUGCCAACGGCAUCGGUUGGCGUCUAAGAAAUGCACAUCGUCUAACUCGUCCCGCCUCCCGCUCGGAAUCCAAAAAUAAAAUAACUAUUUUCGAGUCAUAAGUUAUUCACGAUUUGUAUAAAUAUAAUAUCGUCCGACGUCAGUUUGUGCUCGCACCGACGUCGACGUACUCGUCGUUUAAAUUUUACCUGUUAAUAAUAUUAUGUCACACAGCAGAUUGCAAUUUCCCGACAACUACAGAUUCGACGCGGCGGAUUGUCGGUCGGAUGGACACACACGCGGUGGAGAUCCGGACGAAGAUGACGUCCACAACCUGAUAGUUUAAAUAUUUAUUUUUAAUUUACACAAUGUUUUUUAAAUAAUAUUGUGCAUAGCUGUACACACUUGAAUGAACCCAAAUAGUUUGAUAUUAGUUCAAUGAUAGCGUUAUUAAUAAAUCGCAUCGAGUGCGCGCGAGACUUGCACUGUAAACGUAUAUGUAAACAAUUUUAUUAUAACGUUAUGAUGUAAUAUCAGGUACCUACGAACUGCAGCUUCGAGUAAGUCGGGAAAUAUGCAUUACGUCCGAUUUAUGGCCAUUUUAACGUAAUAAAAUUAUAUUCUCAAUGAAUAAUUUUUUAUCAAUAUUUUUAUGUGUAGCUUUAGGUUAUACCUAGGUACAUAACUCAUAAAUUGUAAUAAUAAUAUGUACAAUAAAUAUUAUCAUACAUGUAUGUUGUGUAAAUGAUAAGAAAUUCCAUCCGCUUUUUUUUUAGAUAUUAUUGUUUGUAAAUUCUUUAUAUUGUGUGAGCCAUUAUAAUUAUUAUAUUCAUAUUUAAAUUUAAAUAUGGGUAUACGUGUUGUUUUAAAUGGCUUUACGAAGUAAAUGUAGUACCUAUAUGGCAUUAUGUAUUGAUGAACUUCUUAUACGUGCUGUUGAUUUUAAAUAUAAAAAAUAAAUAUUGAGAUAUAUUAUUGGA
Acyrthosiphon pisum (pea aphid) is the source of this 4450-nucleotide long non-coding RNA. RefSeq lists it as uncharacterized. The record is from RefSeq and is a predicted model, not a curated record. The transcript is spliced from 2 exons. NCBI's taxonomy places the organism in Eukaryota, Metazoa, Arthropoda, Insecta, Hemiptera, Aphididae.